Molecule: small RNA, 904 nt
Filed under: Pan troglodytes (chimpanzee)
Lineage: Eukaryota; Metazoa; Chordata; Mammalia; Primates; Hominidae
Description: processed transcript
Source: RNAcentral
UGGGGACUCAGAUUCCAAUAGGCAAAGUGUCUCAGAAUGCAAAGUAUGGCGAAAUCCACUAAAUUUAUUUAGGGGUGCUGAAUAUAAUCGGUAUACUUGGGUGACAGGACGAGAGCCUCUUACUUACUAUGACAUGAAUCUCUCUGCCCAGGACCACCAGACAUUCUUUACUUGUGACUCGGACCAUCUGCGUCCCGCAGAUGCAAUAAUGCAGAAAGCCUGGAGAGAGAGAAACCCCCAAGCUAGGAUUUCUGCAGCUCAUGAAGCCUUGGAGAUAAAUGAGUGUGCAACUGCUUAUAUUCUCUUGGCUGAAGAGGAAGCAACAACCAUUGCUGAAGCUGAAAAAUUAUUUAAGCAGGCCCUGAAGGCUGGAGAUGGCUGUUACCGACGCUCUCAGCAGCUACAACAUCAUGGAUCCCAGUAUGAAGCCCAACAUAGACGAGACACCAAUGUCUUGGUGUACAUCAAAAGAAGGCUAGCAAUGUGUGCCAGAAGACUCGGGAGGACCAGGGAAGCAGUGAAAAUGAUGAGAGAUUUAAUGAAGGAGUUCCCCCUUCUGAGUAUGUUCAAUAUCCAUGAAAACCUUUUAGAAGCCCUUCUGGAACUACAAGCAUAUGCUGAUGUUCAGGCAGUCUUAGCAAAGUAUGAUGAUAUAAGCUUACCAAAGUCAGCAACAAUAUGCUACACAGCUGCUUUGCUCAAAGCAAGAGCUGUCUCUGACAAAUUCUCUCCUGAGGCUGCAUCUCGGCGGGGGCUGAGCACAGCAGAGAUGAAUGCAGUAGAGGCCAUUCAUAGAGCUGUGGAAUUCAAUCCUCAUGUGCCAAAAGCUAGGUGGAAAUAGAGGCUGCCUAGAAACAUGCAUUAACAGGUGCUUCUUGGGCCACCCUAGCCUGAAGAAGGACAA